RNAcentral lists this ribosomal RNA (840 nucleotides) under uncultured bacterium. RNAcentral describes it as "bacterial SSU rRNA". It matches the Rfam family "Bacterial small subunit ribosomal RNA", at positions 28 to 896 of the family's 1533-position model. The record is from RNAcentral.
GACAAACGCUGGCGGCGUGCAUAAAACAUGCAAGUCUAACGGGCGUCUUCGGACGUCAGUGGCGAACGGCUGAGUAACACGUAAGUGACCUGCCCUGGAGUGGGGAAUAACUGCUCGAAAGAGUGGCUAAUACCGCAUAUGAUCCCUGGUUCGUUCCAGGGAUUAAAGCCGUAAGGCGCUUUAGGAGGGGCUUGCGUCCGAUUAGCUAGUUGGUGUGGUAAAGGCGCACCAAGGCGAUGAUCGGUAGCUGGUCUGAGAGGAUGAUCAGCCAGACUGGGACUGCGACACGGCCCAGACUCCUACGGGAGGCAGCAGUUAGGAAUUUUGCGCAAUGGCCGAAAGGCUGACGCAGCAACGCCGCGUGAGGGAUGAAGGUCUUCGGAUCGUAAACCUCUUUUGCACGGGAAGAUGAUGACGGUACCGUGCGAAUAAGCCCCGGCUAACUACGUGCCAGCAGCCGCGGUAAUACGUAGGGGGCGAGCGUUGUCCGGAUUUAUUGGGCGUAAAGAGCGCGUAGGCGGCUUGCCAAGUCUUGCGUUAAAUACCUCGGCUCAACCGAGGGGGGUCGUGGGAUACUGGUAGGCUAGAGGCCGGUAGGGGGAAGUGGAAUUCCCGGUGUAGUGGUGGAAUGCGUAGAUAUCGGGAGGAACACCAGUGGCGAAGGCGGCUUCCUGGACCGGUCCUGACGCUGAGGCGCGAAAGCGUGGGGAGCGAACUGAAUUAGAUACUCAGGUAGUCCACGCUGUAAACGAUGGGUGCUAGGUGUCGGGGGUAUCGACCCCCCCGGUGCCGAAGUUAACGCAUUAAGCACCCCGCCUGGGGAGUACGGCCGCAAGGCUA